ACGUUUCAGCAGCAUAUAUACCAAAACAGAAAUGAUACAGAGAAAAUUAGUAUGUCCUCUGUACAAGGAUGACACAGAAAUUCGUGAAGCAUUCCAAAUUUUU
Nomascus leucogenys (northern white-cheeked gibbon) is the source of this 103-nucleotide small nuclear RNA. NCBI's taxonomy places the organism in Eukaryota, Metazoa, Chordata, Mammalia, Primates, Hylobatidae. The record is from Ensembl.